RNAcentral lists this unclassified non-coding RNA (347 nucleotides) under Basidiomycota sp. RNAcentral's name for it is "partial contains small subunit ribosomal RNA, internal transcribed spacer 1, and 5.8S ribosomal RNA". The stretch from base 1 to 47 matches the Rfam family "Eukaryotic small subunit ribosomal RNA", at positions 1785 to 1831 of the family's 1831-position model. The record is from RNAcentral. Lineage: Eukaryota; Fungi; Basidiomycota.
AAAGUCGUAACAAGGUUUCCGUAGGUGAACCUGCGGAAGGAUCAUUAUUGAAUAAGUUGAGAGGUUGUAGCUGGCUCUUCGGGGCAUAUGUGCACGCCUUUCAUACUCAUCUCAACCACCUGUGCACCCUUUGUAGACCUGGAAAUGGAUCUCUCAAGGCAACUUGGAUUUUGAGGGGUUUUUGCUGGCUUGCUUGAAGUAGGCCUCCCCUUGCUAUUUCCUGUGUCUAUGUUUUUAUUAUACACUCCUAAAAUGGUUAUAGAAUGUCUUUGAUGGGCCUGUCGUAAAAAAGCAGUCCUGUAAAAAAUAUAUAUAUACAACUUUCAACAACGGAUCUCUUGGCUCUC